GUUUUCAUAGCUUAGUUGGUUAGAGCACCCGUUUAGUAAGCAGGAGGUCUUGAGUUCGAGUCUCAAUAAAACCA
RNAcentral lists this transfer RNA (74 nucleotides) under Amborella trichopoda. It matches the Rfam family "tRNA". From Rfam's summary of the family: Transfer RNA (tRNA) molecules are approximately 80 nucleotides in length. Their secondary structure includes four short double-helical elements and three loops (D, anti-codon, and T loops). Further hydrogen bonds mediate the characteristic L-shaped molecular structure. tRNAs have two regions of fundamental functional importance: the anti-codon, which is responsible for specific mRNA codon recognition, and the 3' end, to which the tRNAs corresponding amino acid is attached (by aminoacyl-tRNA synthetases). tRNAs cope with the degeneracy of the genetic code in two manners: having more than one tRNA (with a specific anti-codon) for a particular amino acid; and 'wobble' base-pairing, i.e. permitting non-standard base-pairing at the 3rd anti-codon position. Lineage: Eukaryota; Viridiplantae; Streptophyta; Magnoliopsida; Amborellales; Amborellaceae. The record is from Rfam by way of RNAcentral.